Molecule: ribosomal RNA, 773 nt
Filed under: uncultured Neocallimastigales
Lineage: Eukaryota; Fungi; Neocallimastigomycota; Neocallimastigomycetes; Neocallimastigales
Description: partial large subunit ribosomal RNA
Rfam family: Eukaryotic large subunit ribosomal RNA
Source: RNAcentral
GUAGUCUCGCACAGAUGCAUAUCAAUAAGCGGAGGAAAAGAAACUAACAAGGAUUCCCCUAGUAACGGCGAGUGAAGCGGGAAGAGCUCAAAUUUGAAAUCUUAAAGGGUUUCCCUUUACGAAUUGUAGUUUAAAGAAGUGUUUUCUGUUGAGGUUUUGGUAAAAGUUCUUUGGAAUAGGACAUCAUAGAGGGUGAGAAUCCCGUAUUUGACCUUUACUUUCAACUUUGUGAUACACUUUCAAAGAGUCGGAUUGUUUGGGAAUGCAGUCCAAAAUGGGUGGUAAAUUUCAUCUAAAGCUAAAUAUUGGCGAGAGACCGAUAGCGAACAAGUACCGUGAGGGAAAGAUGAAAAGAACUUUGAAAAGAGAGUUAAACAGUACGUGAAAUUGUCAAAAGGGAAGCGUUUAACACCAGUGUUGUUUUUCUGAAAAUCAAUUAAAGAACUGUUUAUGCUAAGCUGUUUAGACUUUAUCAGCUAACUGUUUAGUUUUGAGCUUUUCUUUAAUGCACUUUUCAGUUAACAAGUCAACAUCAAUUUCUUUUGCUGUAAAAAAGCUUGAGGAAGGUGGCUUGAGAUUCGUCUUAAGUGUUUAUAGCCUCUUGCCUAUGCAGUCGGAGAGAUUGAGGUCUGCAGCGUAGAUCCUUCGGGGCUAAAUGCAUUUGUGCUAAGUUAUAGCAUUUUAUAGACAACUUGUUGACUAUGAUUUGUCUUGUAGCUUACUCGCUUAUGUUAUUUUACCUACGCUUAGGAUGUUGAACUACUGAGACAUAG